This is a long non-coding RNA of Pyrus x bretschneideri (Chinese white pear), 1254 nucleotides long. RefSeq lists it as uncharacterized. NCBI's taxonomy places the organism in Eukaryota, Viridiplantae, Streptophyta, Magnoliopsida, Rosales, Rosaceae. The record is from RefSeq and is a predicted model, not a curated record. The transcript is spliced from 3 exons.
UUCAGAUGGUGUGUGAGCUUAGACUAAAGUGACAUGUCUGUUUUAUAUAAAUUCGUUUUUUCAAUUGCAGAAGCUUUUUCCUCUCAUUGGGCAUAUAAACAACAUGUGUGGUUAAUCGUUUUGCCAUCUUUGUGGUCAUUUUUAUUCUUUCUAUGCAUGUUUUUGCUGGCAAUUUAACAACUGAUUGUAGAAACUUUUGUCGUUGUAUCUUGAUGCUUCUUAAUAGUGGUGGUGCCAUGCAUGUUCUUGGUUAAAUUAAUUGAGUACAUCCGUAAUUUGGAAUAGUUCUUUUCUAAAUUGGCAGGAAUUUUUUCAGUCGAGGAGAUUGUUGGAUACUUCUGCUAAUUGGAUCAAUGGAAGCGAUAGCCAGUUAUUAGGGGUAUCUUUUGGCAGGAUUACAAGGACUUUGUUGCGGAUGGGAUUCAAACAGAAGCUUUCAACUUGAACGAGGAGAGGGAAGAAGGUUAUUUUCAUGCAGAUGGAAAGUUUAUUAAUUAUGCCAUUAAAAAAUGAAGUCAAGGUCAUAAAAUAUUUUUUAUACUGAAGCUUUCAUCUCUCUGAUUAAAUUCAGUUGAAUUAAGUAAUUCAGUCGAUUAAUUAAUUCAGUAAAAGAGAACCAAAAAACGUGGAGGCGGAGUCAAAUGCAAAAUCAUAGAAUCAGAAAUUAAGGCCCAGACACUAUUGAUUCCUCAAAUUUUUCGCCAUGAAGCAAAAGGUGGUGACUCACGCAGACAACUUGUUGGGUUUUACGGCUUAAAAUUAAGAUGAUGCAAAAAAUUAGGUUUGUGUUACCUAUUUGGUUUUGGUGUCCUAUUUAGGGUUUGUAAUUUGUGGGAUUUGGGUUGUAAGAGUUUAAACACUCUUUUGUAAUCUCCGUUUGUUUAGUAAAAUUCCUCGCAGUGCUUCGCCCAUGGACAUAAGCUUUACACCAAACCACGUAAAUCUCUUGUGUUAGUUUGAGAUUGUUUGUUUUAGCUUUCGCCUAGGACUUUGAUAUUUGGUACUUUGUUAUAAUUUGCUUCCAUUUGCAUAUAAAAGUACAACAAGUGGUAUCAGAGGCCAAGUUUCGACUUGGGCUUUGCUUGGUAGUCACCAUGAAGCCUUCUGUGUCAUCGGUGAAAGUUGAUAUUGAAAAGUUCGACGGCAAUGACUUUUGUAUUUGGCAAUUGAAGAUGUGUGCUUUGUUAGUUCAACAAGGGCUUUUGACAACGCUAAAGGGUGUGAAGGCUUUGCCGAAUUCAUGGACUAAUGAGG